RNAcentral lists this ribosomal RNA (527 nucleotides) under Babesia divergens. RNAcentral describes it as "SSU rRNA". It matches the Rfam family "Eukaryotic small subunit ribosomal RNA", at positions 503 to 1080 of the family's 1831-position model. Lineage: Eukaryota; Apicomplexa; Aconoidasida; Piroplasmida; Babesiidae. The record is from RNAcentral.
UUGUAAUUGGAAUGAUGGUGACCUAAACCCUCACCAGAGUAACAAUUGGAGGGCAAGUCUGGUGCCAGCAGCCGCGGUAAUUCCAGCUCCAAUAGCGUAUAUUAAACUUGUUGCAGUUAAAAAGCUCGUAGUUGAAUUUUUGCGUGGUGUUAAUAUUGACUGAUGUCGAGAUUGCACUUCGCUUUUGGGAUUUUUCCCUUUUUACUUUGAGAAAAUUAGAGUGUUUCAAGCAGACUUUUGUCUUGAAUACUUCAGCAUGGAAUAAUAGAGUAGGACUUUGGUUCUAUUUUGUUGGUUUGUGAACCUUAGUAAUGGUUAAUAAGAACGGUUGGGGGCAUUCGUAUUUAACUGUCAGAGGUGAAAUUCUUAGAUUUGUUAAAGACGAACUACUGCGAAAGCAUUUGCCAAGGACGUUUUCAUUAAUCAAGAACGAAAGUUAGGGGAUCGAAGACGAUCAGAUACCGUCGUAGUCCUAACCAUAAACUAUGCCGACUAGGGAUUGGAGGUCGUCAUUUUUCCGACUCCUU